CCUACGGGAGGCAGCAGUGGGGAAUAUUGCACAAUGGGGGAAACCCUGAUGCAGCGACGCCGCGUGAGUGAAGAAGUAUUUCGGUAUGUAAAGCUCUAUCAGCAGGGAAGAAAAUGACGGUACCUGACUAAGAAGCCCCGGCUAACUACGUGCCAGCAGCCGCGGGAAUACGUCGGGGGCAAGCGUUAUCCGGAUUUACUGGGUGUAAAGGGAGCGUAGACGGUGAUGCAAGUCAGAAGUGAAAGCCCGGGGCUCAACUCCGGGACUGCUUUUGAAACUGUGUGACUGGAGUGCAGGAGAGGUAAGCGGAAUUCCUGGUGUAGCGGUGAAAUGCGUAGAUAUCAGGAGGAACACCAGUGGCGAAGGCGGCUUACUGGACUGUAACUGACGUUGAGGCUCGAAAGCGUGGGGAGCAAACAGGAUUAGAUACCCCUGUAGUC
RNAcentral lists this ribosomal RNA (440 nucleotides) under uncultured bacterium. RNAcentral describes it as "partial 16S ribosomal RNA". It matches the Rfam family "Bacterial small subunit ribosomal RNA", at positions 338 to 795 of the family's 1533-position model. The record is from RNAcentral.